This 1376-nucleotide ribosomal RNA is filed under the name uncultured organism. Its description in RNAcentral is "16S ribosomal RNA". It matches the Rfam family "Bacterial small subunit ribosomal RNA", at positions 46 to 1421 of the family's 1533-position model. The record is from RNAcentral.
GCCUAACACAUGCAAGUCGAGGGGUAACAGAAGUAGCAAUACUUGCUGACGACCGGCGCACGGGUGAGUAACGCGUAUGCAACCUACCUUUGACUGGAGAAUAGCCCGAAGAAAUUCGGAUUAAUGCUCCAUGAGACCACAAUACCGCAUGAUAUAGUGGUAAAAGCUCCGGCGGUCAAAGAUGGGCAUGCGUGCCAUUAGUUAGUUGGUGAGGUUACGGCUCACCAAGACAACGAUGGCUAGGGGGUCUGAGAGGAUGAUCCCCCACACUGGUACUGAGACACGGACCAGACUCCUACGGGAGGCAGCAGUGAGGAAUAUUGGUCAAUGGACGCAAGUCUGAACCAGCCAUGCCGCGUGCAGGAUGAAUGCCCUAUGGGUUGUAAACUGCUUUUCUACAAGAAGAAACUUCCUGAUGUAUCAGGAACUGACGGUAUUGUAGGAAUAAGCAUCGGCUAACUCCGUGCCAGCAGCCGCGGUAAUACGGAGGAUGCAAGCGUUAUCCGGAUUCAUUGGGUUUAAAGGGUGCGUAGGCGGGGUAGUAAGUCAGUGGUGAAAGCCUGCGGCUUAACCGUAGAAUUGCCAUUGAUACUGCUAUUCUUGAGUGCAGUUGAGGUAGGCGGAAUGUGUAAUGUAGCGGUGAAAUGCUUAGAUAUUACACAGAACACCGAUUGCGUAGGCAGCUUACUAAACUGUAACUGACGCUGAGGCACGAAAGCGUGGGGAGCGAACAGGAUUAGAUACCCUGGUAGUCCACGCAGUAAACGAUGCUCACUCGCUGUUGGCAAUAGAUCGUCAGCGGCUAAGGGAAACCGAUAAGUGAGCCACCUGGGGAGUACGAUCGCAAGAUUUGAAACUCAAAGGAAUUGACGGGGGCCCGCACAAGCGGUGGAACAUGUGGUUUAAUUCGAUGAUACGCGAGGAACCUUACCUGGGCUUAAAUGUACGAUGCAUAAGUGUGAAAGCACUUUUUCCUUCGGGACUUUGUACAAGGUGCUGCAUGGUUGUCGUCAGCUCGUGCCGUGAGGUGUCGGGUUAAGUCCCAUAACGAGCGCAACCCCUAUUGUUAGUUACCAGCGCGCAAAGGCGGGGACUCUAGCGAAACUGCCGGUGUAAACCGCGAGGAAGGUGGGGAUGACGUCAAAUCAGCACGGCCCUUAUGUCCAGGGCUACACACGUGUUACAAUGGCCGGUACAGCGGGCAGCGAGGCAGCGAUGCCGAGCGAAUCUCGAAAGCCGGUCCCAGUUCGGAUUGGAGUCUGCAACCCGACUCCAUGAAGGUGGAAUCGCUAGUAAUCGCGCAUCAGCCAUGGCGCGGUGAUACGUUCCCGGGCCUUGUACACACCGCCCGUCAAGCCAUGGAAGUCUGGGGUGCC